UACGUAGGGGGCUAGCGUUAUCCGGAAUUACUGGGCGUAAAGGGUGCGUAGGUGGUUUCUUAAGUCAGAGGUGAAAGGCUACGGCUCAACCGUAGUAAGCCUUUGAAACUGGGAAACUUGAGUGCAGGAGAGGAGAGUGGAGUUCCUAGUGUAGCGGUGAAAUGCGUAGAUAUUAGGAGGAACACCAGUUGCGAAGGCGGCUCUCUGGGCUGUAACUGACACUGAGGCACGAAAGCGUGGGGAGCAAACAGG
RNAcentral lists this ribosomal RNA (252 nucleotides) under uncultured bacterium. Its description in RNAcentral is "partial 16S ribosomal RNA". It matches the Rfam family "Bacterial small subunit ribosomal RNA", at positions 524 to 776 of the family's 1533-position model. The record is from RNAcentral.